CCGUCCUUGGCAUAGUGGCCGUGCAUCCGGCUUUUAACCGGAAGAGGGGAGUUCGAUUCUCUCAGGGCGGACCA
RNAcentral lists this transfer RNA (74 nucleotides) under Gammaproteobacteria bacterium. RNAcentral's name for it is "tRNA-Lys". It matches the Rfam family "tRNA". Rfam says of the family: Transfer RNA (tRNA) molecules are approximately 80 nucleotides in length. Their secondary structure includes four short double-helical elements and three loops (D, anti-codon, and T loops). The record is from RNAcentral. Lineage: Bacteria; Pseudomonadati; Pseudomonadota; Gammaproteobacteria.